RNAcentral lists this ribosomal RNA (429 nucleotides) under Acidobacteriota bacterium. RNAcentral describes it as "Acidobacteria bacterium partial 16S ribosomal RNA". It matches the Rfam family "Bacterial small subunit ribosomal RNA", at positions 355 to 776 of the family's 1533-position model. The record is from RNAcentral. Lineage: Bacteria; Pseudomonadati; Acidobacteriota.
UGGGGAAUUUUGGACAAUGGGGGAAACCCUGAUCCAGCCAUCCCGCGUGUGCGAAGAAGGCCUUCGGGUUGUUAAGCACUUUUGGCAGGAAAGAAACGUCAUGGGUUAAUACCCCGUGAAACUGACGGUACCUGCAGAAUAAGCACCGGCUAACUACGUGCCAGCAGCCGCGGUAAUACGUAGGGUGCAAGCGUUAAUCGGAAUUACUGGGCGUAAAGCGUGCGCAGGCGGUACGGAAAGAAAGAUGUGAAAUCCCAGAGCUCAACUUUGGAACUGCAUUUUUAACUACCGGGCUAGAGUGUGUCAGAGGGAGGUGGAAUUCCGCGUGUAGCAAUGAAAUGCGUAGAUAUGCGGAGGAACACCGAUGGCGAAUGCAGCCUCCUGGGAUAACACUGACACUCAUGCACGAAAGCGUGGGGAGCAAACAGG